GGAUGUGAGGGCGAUCUAGCUGCAACAUCUGUCACCUAUUUGAUCUCCAGGGUUGAUUCGGCUGAUCUGGCUGGGUAGGCGGGUGUCCCCUUCCUCCCUCACUGCUCCAUGUGCAUCCCUGCUGAAGCUGCAUGCUCAGUCGAAAAGGACAGCCUUCCCCAAGUAGAGACCAACUGGUCUUCAGUCGAGGGUAUACGAGUAGCUGCGCUCCCCUGCUAGAACCUCCAAACAGGCUCUCAAGACUGACCUCCCUAGGCAGCUGAGGUCUGAUCACACUCCGUAGCAGACUGUGAUGGGAAACUGCAGUAAGUCUUCCUUUUCC
Molecule: unclassified non-coding RNA, 322 nt
Organism: Erinaceus europaeus (western European hedgehog)
Lineage: Eukaryota; Metazoa; Chordata; Mammalia; Eulipotyphla; Erinaceidae
Gene: 7SK
Rfam family: 7SK RNA
About the family: 7SK was discovered as an abundant small nuclear RNA in the mid-70s but a possible function has only recently been suggested. Two independent studies have found that 7SK RNA binds the CDK9/cyclin T complex (known as elongation factor P-TEFb).
Source: Ensembl